AAUAGAUACCCCGGUAGUCCACGCCGUAAACGAUGCUUGCUAGCUGUUAUCAGUAUCGACCCUGGUAGUAGCGAAGCUAACGCGUUAAGCAAGCCGCCUGUGGAGUACGAGCGCAAGCUUAAAACAUAAAGGAAUUGACGGGGACCCGCACAAGCGGUGGAGCGUGUUGUUUAAUUCGAUGAUAAGCGAAGAACCUUACCAAGGUUUGACAUCCUGGGAAGGUCUCCGAAAGGAGACUGUGCCUUCGGGAAUCCAGUGACAGGUGCUGCAUGGCCGUCGUCAGCUCGUGUCGUGAGAUGUUUGGUUAAGUCCAUCAACGAGCGCAACCCUUUUGUCCAGUUGGAUUUCUCUGGACAGACUGCCCUGGUAACAGGGAGGAAGGAGGGGAUGAUGUCAGGUCCGUAUUGCCCUUACACCUUGGGCUACAAACACGCUACAAUGGCCGGUACAGAGGGCAGCCAACCCGCGAGGGGGAGCAAAUCCCACCAAAACCGGUCUCAGUUCGGAUUGCAGGCUGAAACUCGCCUGCA
Molecule: ribosomal RNA, 530 nt
Filed under: uncultured bacterium
Lineage: Bacteria
Description: bacterial SSU rRNA
Rfam family: Bacterial small subunit ribosomal RNA
Source: RNAcentral